RNAcentral lists this ribosomal RNA (253 nucleotides) under uncultured bacterium. RNAcentral describes it as "partial 16S ribosomal RNA". It matches the Rfam family "Bacterial small subunit ribosomal RNA", at positions 524 to 776 of the family's 1533-position model. The record is from RNAcentral.
UACAGAGGGUGCGAGCGUUAAUCGGAAUUACUGGGCGUAAAGCGCGCGUAGGCGGCUUUGCAAGUCGGGUGUGAAAUCCCCAGGCUUAACCUGGGAACUGCAUUCGAGACUGCAUUGCUAGAGUAUGGGAGAGGGAAGUGGAAUUUCAGGUGUAGCGGUGAAAUGCGUAGAUAUCUGAAGGAACCUCAGUGGCGAAAGCGACUUCCUGGACCAAUACUGACGCUCAUGUGCGAAAGCGUGGGGAGCAAACAGG